RNAcentral lists this ribosomal RNA (158 nucleotides) under Fusarium petroliphilum. Its description in RNAcentral is "5.8S ribosomal RNA". It matches the Rfam family "5.8S ribosomal RNA". Rfam says of the family: 5.8S ribosomal RNA (5.8S rRNA) is a component of the large subunit of the eukaryotic ribosome. It is transcribed by RNA polymerase I as part of the 45S precursor that also contains 18S and 28S rRNA. The record is from RNAcentral. Lineage: Eukaryota; Fungi; Ascomycota; Sordariomycetes; Hypocreales; Nectriaceae.
AACUUUCAACAAGGGAUCUGUGGGCUCUGGCAUGGAUGAAGAACGCAGCGAAAUGCGAUAAGUAAUGUGAAUUGCAGAAUUCAGUGAAUCAUCGAAUCUUGGAACGCACAUUGCGCCCGCCAGUAUUCUGGCGGGCAUGCCUGUUCGAGCGUCAUUAC